UACGUAGGGGGCUAGCGUUGUCCGGAAUCAUUGGGCGUAAAGCGCGCGUAGGCGGCCAGAUAAGUCCGGUGUGAAAGUCAAAGGCUCAACCUUUGAAUGCCGCUGGAAACUGUCUGGCUUGAGUCCGGAAGGGGCGAGUGGAAUUCCUGGUGUAGCGGUGAAAUGCGCAGAUAUCAGGAGGAACACCAAUGGCGAAGGCGGCUCACUGGCCCGUAACUGACGCUGAGGCACGAAAGCGUGGGGAGCAAACAGG
This 253-nucleotide ribosomal RNA is filed under the name uncultured bacterium. RNAcentral describes it as "partial 16S ribosomal RNA". It matches the Rfam family "Bacterial small subunit ribosomal RNA", at positions 524 to 776 of the family's 1533-position model. The record is from RNAcentral.